RNAcentral lists this ribosomal RNA (716 nucleotides) under Stenotrophomonas maltophilia. RNAcentral describes it as "bacterial SSU rRNA". It matches the Rfam family "Bacterial small subunit ribosomal RNA", at positions 35 to 740 of the family's 1533-position model. Lineage: Bacteria; Pseudomonadati; Pseudomonadota; Gammaproteobacteria; Lysobacterales; Lysobacteraceae. The record is from RNAcentral.
GCUGGCGGUAGGCCUAACACAUGCAAGUCGAACGGCAGCACAGAGGAGCUUGCUCCUUGGGUGGCGAGUGGCGGACGGGUGAGGAAUACAUCGGAAUCUACUUUUUCGUGGGGGAUAACGUAGGGAAACUUACGCUAAUACCGCAUACGACCUACGGGUGAAAGCAGGGGACCUUCGGGCCUUGCGCGAUUGAAUGAGCCGAUGUCGGAUUAGCUAGUUGGCGGGGUAAAGGCCCACCAAGGCGACGAUCCGUAGCUGGUCUGAGAGGAUGAUCAGCCACACUGGAACUGAGACACGGUCCAGACUCCUACGGGAGGCAGCAGUGGGGAAUAUUGGACAAUGGGCGCAAGCCUGAUCCAGCCAUACCGCGUGGGUGAAGAAGGCCUUCGGGUUGUAAAGCCCUUUUGUUGGGAAAGAAAUCCAGCCGGCUAAUACCUGGUUGGGAUGACGGUACCCAAAGAAUAAGCACCGGCUAACUUCGUGCCAGCAGCCGCGGUAAUACGAAGGGUGCAAGCGUUACUCGGAAUUACUGGGCGUAAAGCGUGCGUAGGUGGUUGUUUAAGUCUGUUGUGAAAGCCCUGGGCUCAACCUGGGAACUGCAGUGGAAACUGGACAACUAGAGUGUGGUAGAGGGUAGCGGAAUUCCCGGUGUAGCAGUGAAAUGCGUAGAGAUCGGGAGGAACAUCCAUGGCGAAGGCAGCUACCNGGACCAACAC